This 418-nucleotide ribosomal RNA is filed under the name uncultured soil bacterium. RNAcentral describes it as "bacterial SSU rRNA". It matches the Rfam family "Bacterial small subunit ribosomal RNA", at positions 26 to 436 of the family's 1533-position model. The record is from RNAcentral.
AGAGUGAACGCUGGCGGUAGGCCUAACACAUGCAAGUCGAACGGCAGCACGGUAAGAGCUUGCUCUUAUGGGUGGCGAGUGGCGGACGGGUGAGGAAUACAUCGGAAUCUACCUUUUGGUGGGGGAUAACGUAGGGAAACUUACGCUAAUACCGCAUACGCCCUUCGGGGGAAAGCCGGGACCAGCAAUGGCCUGGCGCUGAUAGAUGAGCCGAUGUCGGAUUAGCUAGUUGGUGAGGUAAUGGCUCACCAAGGCGACGAUCCGUAGCUGGUCUGAGAGGAUGAUCAGCCACACUGGAACUGAGACACGGUCCAGACUCCACGGGAGCAGCAGUGGGAAUAGUGGACAAUGGGCGACGAAGCCUGACUCCAGCCAACUACCCGGCGGUGGGUAGAAGGAACGGUCCGUUUACGGGUUA